Long non-coding RNA from Bos taurus (domestic cattle), 297 nucleotides. Lineage: Eukaryota; Metazoa; Chordata; Mammalia; Artiodactyla; Bovidae. The record is from Ensembl.
GCCUCACGUCGCUGCCGACCUCCAUCUCAUUUUCGAUUUUCUACUCUUUUGGUUUUCAGAUAAUUGGGCCAGAGGGAGGGGUGCACAACCUGGAUCCUGGGGACAAUUGGCAGAUAUAUAUCCAUGUAUCUUGCUGAGGAAGGACCAGCAGAAAGGAAGACUGGAAAUCUGACUAUUUGGACACGAAUCUCGGAGUGCUGGGCGCGAGGCGGAGGGCUUCUCACCCAUCUCCCCUCCCUGUCCCGGCAGAGAAGACUCGCCUAGUUGGGACAGGAGGCCAAGAAUGCUUUCCCCAAC